CCUACGGGUGGCUGCAGUGAGGAAUAUUGGUCAAUGGUCGCAAGCCUGAACCAGCCAAGUAGCGUGCAGGAUGACGGCCCUAUGGGUUGUAAACUGCUUUUACACGGGGAUAAAAUCCUUCACGUGUGGUGGUCUGCAGGUACCGCGUGAAUAAGGACCGGCUAAUUCCGUGCCAGCAGCCGCGGUAAUACGGAAGGUCCGGGCGUUAUCCGGAUUUAUUGGGUUUAAAGGGAGCGUAGGCCGCAUGUCAAGCGUGCUGUGAAAUGCCCGGGCUCAACCCGGGCCCUGCAGCGCGAACUGGCGUGCUUGAGUCCGCGGAAAGCAGGCGGAAUUCGUGGUGUAGCGGUGAAAUGCUUAGAUAUGACGAAGAACUCCGAUUGCGAAGGCAGCAUGCGGCAGCGGAACUGACGCUGAUGCUCGAAGGCGCGGGUAUCGAACAGGAUUAGAUACCCUGGUAGUC
RNAcentral lists this ribosomal RNA (460 nucleotides) under uncultured bacterium. RNAcentral describes it as "partial 16S ribosomal RNA". It matches the Rfam family "Bacterial small subunit ribosomal RNA", at positions 338 to 795 of the family's 1533-position model. The record is from RNAcentral.